UACGAAGGGGGCUAGCGUUGCUCGGAUUGACUGGGCGUAAAGGGCGCGUAGGCGGUUCGUACAGUCAGACGUGAAAUUCCUGGGCUCAACCUGGGGGCUGCGUUUGAUACGUGCGGACUUGAGUGCGGAAGAGGGUCGUGGAAUUCCCAGUGUAGAGGUGAAAUUCGUAGAUAUUGGGAAGAACACCAGUGGCGAAGGCGGCGACCUGGUCCGAUACUGACGCUGAGGCGCGAAAGCGUGGGGAGCAAACAGG
Molecule: ribosomal RNA, 253 nt
Filed under: uncultured bacterium
Lineage: Bacteria
Description: partial 16S ribosomal RNA
Rfam family: Bacterial small subunit ribosomal RNA
Source: RNAcentral